GUGAGUCAUCGAAUCUUUGAACGCACAUUGCGCCCUCCGGUAUUCCGGAGGGCAUGCCUGUUCGAGCGUCAUUUCAACCCUCAAGCACUGCUUGGUGUUGGGGCACUGCCUCUCUCGCGGGAGGCAGGCCCUGAAAUUCAGUGGCGAGCUCGCCAGGACCCCGAGCGCAGUAGUUAAACCCUCGCUUUGGAAGGCCCUGGCGGUGCCCUGCCGUUAAACCCCCAACUCUUGAAAAUUUGACCUCGGAUCAGGUAGGAAUACCCGCUGAACUUAAGCAUAUCAAUAAGCGGAGGA
RNAcentral lists this unclassified non-coding RNA (294 nucleotides) under Diaporthales sp. Its description in RNAcentral is "partial contains 5.8S ribosomal RNA, internal transcribed spacer 2, and large subunit ribosomal RNA". The stretch from base 1 to 71 matches the Rfam family "5.8S ribosomal RNA", at positions 84 to 154 of the family's 154-position model. The record is from RNAcentral. Lineage: Eukaryota; Fungi; Ascomycota; Sordariomycetes; Diaporthales.